AGGUAUGUGGGGCGUACCUUAUUGAAGUUUGGAUACGGGGUUUUCCCCCUGGUACGUUGGGCGUACCUAGAGUACAUAGGGCGUACUCGAUCUUGGGGAAAGCCCCAAAUUUUAAGUGCUCUUAGAAGAGACGAAGUCCACAAUUGAAGCUUGGAAAAUCUCAAGCUCUUAGAUCCAAAACUUCUAUCAUCCUUGCAAGCUUAUGAAGGUACUUCUAGUUCGAAGGGAAAUGGAGUGGCUUGAUCGCAACGUAUCCACCCAUGUUUCUGCAUUUUUAUAAUUUUGGGAUUUGUACUCUGAUAACUAUUUUCACAUUAGCAUACUUUGAUGGUUUGAUUUGAUGAUUUGAUGGAUGUUUAGUUGAAUUAAAAAUGAUUUUUUACUUAUGAAUUUUGUAAUGUUACAGUUAUCAGUGGGAUUUAUAAUCUUGACAAAAAACUUGUCAAGUCUAUGGCUUAAAAAUCUUUCCAAGGUCGGGUGCGAGUACUCUCUUGUGGCGUGAUAAAGGGAUUGGUGUGAACAACCUUGAUACACUCUUCCCUCUCUCUUUGAACUGGACAAGAAAAAACUCAUGUUUGGUGUCGGAGAGAAUGGGCCCUAAUUCGAUUAAUUAGGCAUGGAAAUGAACUCCCAACAACCUCGUGGAGGUUAAUGAGUUUUCUGAUGUCAUUGCUUUUUUUUGGAUUCUGUGGUUAUAAAUGAUGGCAGGGAUUCUUGGAGAUGUUCUUGAUCCUCGGAUGGGAAUUUCUAUGUUCAUGUCCUAAGAAAUUUGAAUGAUUCUAUAUUGACUGAUCCGGUGGAGAAUCCUACUAUUUAUUGCAGGUAAGAUCAUCUUAAAGUGAUUAUUUUCAAUUGGUGGGCUUGCAUGGAUCGUGUUCCUUCUGUGACCGCUCUCUCGUCGCAGAAUUAACGUUCCUAUCACCACCUAUCAUAGCAGCACGUCAAGGUCGAAGGCACCAAGGCCGAGGCGGUGAUGCAGGACCUAGAAUUCCUCUAACGUGGGACAUCCGAAUUAAUAUUACUACUGGGACUGCAAAUGCGUGUAUGAAUUACAUGAACAAGUUCGAAGGCACAAAGAGAUUCAUGUAGAAAUACAAUGAAGACUAACUCAACUGAAAUAAUAAUCAGCGGGUUUUAUGAGAUCAUUUAACAACCACUAAGUUGUUA
Non-coding RNA from Lactuca sativa (garden lettuce), 1167 nucleotides. The record is from RefSeq and is a predicted model, not a curated record. Lineage: Eukaryota; Viridiplantae; Streptophyta; Magnoliopsida; Asterales; Asteraceae.